RNA transcript from Hippopotamus amphibius kiboko, 5839 nucleotides. It is a transcript of the gene named peroxisomal biogenesis factor 26, with no coding region annotated. NCBI's taxonomy places the organism in Eukaryota, Metazoa, Chordata, Mammalia, Artiodactyla, Hippopotamidae. The transcript is spliced from 6 exons. The record is from RefSeq and is a predicted model, not a curated record.
CUGCGCGCGCAGCAAAGAUGUCAGCGCCCUCGUCCCCGCGCCCCUGCAGCUAGAGAGGCCCACGGGCAGCCCUCCCCGGGCCAGGUGUCCAGGGACGCAGUGCUCCGCAAAUCCGAGGGCUCCAGGCUGUCCCCCGCCGGAACUGUAGGAGAGCCCAGGCGCGUCCUCCUUUCCUUCUCGGGGUGCGACCUCGGGGAGGGUCGUGGGCCAGGCUGUGGGGACCCUCCUUCCUCCCCAGGCCGCACGGGAUACCCCGCAGCCCCCAGAGGGCGGCGGCCUGGCGCCCGCCUAUGAGGAGUGACCCCGCGACUUCCGCAGCCCCCCUGAGGGGGCUCGGGGGGCCCCUGCGGAGCAGCGAGCCCGUGUGCGCCACCCCGGCCCCGUCGGCGGCCGUGCUUCUGCUGGAGGAGGCGGCCGACCUGUUGGUGGUGCACCUGGACUUCCGCGCCGCGCUGCGCACCUGCGAACGCGCCUGGCAGGGCUUGGCCGCGGAGCCGGUGGGCGCCUCCUCGGAGGUGAAAUGCUCGCUGUGUGUUGUGGGGAUCCAGGCCCUGGCAGAAAUGGACCGGUGGCGGGAAGUCCUGUCGUGGGUCCUUCAGUAUUACCAGGUUCCUGAGAAGCUGCCCCCCAAAGUCCUGGAACUGUGUGUUCUUUUAUACAGCAAGAUGCGGGAGCCUGGAGCUGUGCUGGACACGGUCAGUGCUUGGCUCCAAGACCCUGACAACCAGGGCCUUCCAGAGUACAGAGCCUUAGCAGAACUUCACUUGCAGCGAGUGCUGCUUCCUCUGGGCUGCUUGUCGGAGGCUGAAGAGCUAGUGGUGGGCUCUGCAGCCUUCAGUGAGGAGCAGCGGCUGGACGCACUUCAGGCCAUUAGCACGGCACGGCAACAGCAGAAACAUGGACAGUUCGGCCCUGAGGAGAACCAGACGCUAAACCAGGAAGGCUCCUCCUCACACAAGUUCCUGUCACUGCUGAUGUUGCUUCGCCAGCUUUGGGAUUCUGCAGUCAGCCACUUCUUUUCCCUGCCCUUCAGAAAGAGCCUGCUGGCUGCCCUGCUCCUCUGCCUCUUGGUGGUGAGGUUUGAUCUGGGAGGAGUUGGUGGACCUGAGCCUCGCCCACUAGAAGAAGAGACCAGUCUUGGAGAAAGUCCACUCUGCCCUGUUGACCCUGAAUGUUCAGGCAUGAACUCUGAGGAGAGCCUCAGCGUAAAAAAAGAAAAACUUCAUCAUAAUGUGUAAGAAAGUUAUGUUAAUUUAAAACAUUUUAAGUUGUAGAAGUACAAUUACAAUAGAAGAAAUACAUAUUUUAGAGAAUAUGGAAAAUAGAGAAAAGUAUAAAGGAGAAAACAGAAAUCACCCAUAAGUCUGCUACUGUAAUCGUUUUACUUAGUCUUUCUCUAGAUGCAAAUUUGCAUGUUGUUAAGUAUUCUUUUGUUUUCUUUCUAGUUUGUUAUAACUGACAUAGAGCACUGUAUAAGUUUAAGCUGUACAGCAUAAUGAUUUGACUUACAUACAUCAUGAAAUGAUCGCCACAAUAUGUGUAGUAAACAUUUGUCAUUUCAUAUAGAUAAAAAAUUUUAAAAACAGAAAAAAAUUUUUUCCUUGUGAUGAGAACUCUUAGGACUUACUCUCUUAACUUUUGUGUAUGACAUAUGGCAGUGUUAAUGUUUAUCAUGUUGUACAUUACAUUCCUAAUACUUAUUUAUCUUAUAACUAGAAAUACCGUUUGACUGCCUUCUUCCAAUUCCCCAUUCCCCAUAAGUAUUCUUUAAAACCUGGCUUUAGGGACUUCCCUGGUGGUCCAGUGGUUAGGACUCUGCACUUUCACUGCUGAGGGCCUGGAUUCCACCCCUAGUCAGGGAACUAAGUUGCCACAGUGUGGCCAAAAAAAAAAAAGGUCUUAAAAGCUUUAUGUGGCUAAAUAAUAUUCCAACCUGUAGGAACUUCCAUAAUUGAUUUUACAAUACCCUAUUGUCGAACAUUUUGAUGAUUUCUUACUAUGUUUUCUACUGUGCUCUUUCCUAAGGGCUAAUUCCUCAGACCUGUGGGCACUGGGCCAAAGGUUAGGUGCUCACUGUGGACUUUUCUGCAUGUUACUCUGUGUGAGUUUUGAGCUAAUCUCUACUUACGAAUUUAGACUUAGGAUCGUAUAACUUUCAAAACUGAAAGGAAAACUGGAAACCCUUGUUUCAGUCCCUUCAUUUUCUUUUUCUUUUGUUUUUGGUUGAAAAACCUAUGAACCAGAGAGAAGAGCGACUGCCCCAGGAUCACACAGACGGCUUGUCUGUUGCUUUCGAUUUAGCCUGAGAUAUUGCCUGGGUCCCACUGCCCUUUUUCUGCUUCUAGAGCCGUUUCCGCACAGCUGAACCCCAAGUAGGAGUUUCCUCUGAACAGUUCUGUUAGCCUCAGGAAAGCUGAGGGGAGUUUGUGCACAUUCCUGUCCACCCUCUGACCUUUUACUUUGUUUAAUUUUGACUCAGUAAAAAUUGUAAAAUUUUUUGUGGUUCUUGUGAGUCUUUCAGUCUCGUAUUAAACCCUGGUCUUCUGAGUGGUGAUGGCAAGGGGCCGCUUGAGCUUCUUCCAUCAGGGAGCCCUGGCUGUGGUCCCACCCUUGGGACAGCCUUGACUCAGUGCAGAGGUGGUGAGAACCCAGCAGUGGGCUGCAGUUAGAACUUGGCAGAGAGGAUAUAAAGAGGGUGGAUUGUAAAAGCUCUCUCAAGAGUAACAUAUUUCUUCUUUUUUUUGGCCAUGGCUUGCGGCAUGUGGGAUCUUAGUUCCCCAACCAGGAAUCACCAGGGAUUGAACUGUGCCCCCUGCAUUGGAAGGCAGAGUCUUAACCACUGGACUGUCAGGGAAGUCCCAGUAACAUAUUUCUUCUUAAGAAAGAAAAAAAAAUCAAUUAAAAAUCAGUAAUUCAAAUAAGGAAAAACAAACAAACCAAAACAAACAGCCAACUCAGCUCUCAUGGAUUUUACUUUAAUUUUCAAUGUAAUUAACUUAUGAUAAAAAUAGGUAAUACUGUUGCUUGACUCCAAGUUUAAAAGGUACAAAACGGAACGUGGUGAAAAGUCUCUUCCCAAAUUCAUCUCCCGAGAGGCAGCCACCAUUACCAGUUUUUUGUGUAUUAAAAAGUUAGAUUAAAACAUAAUAAAUUUGAAUCUUUUUCUCAGCAAACUUAAGGUCACUGUAAUCCAAGUGAAGAAAAUACAUCCCAGAGUCUAUAUCCUGGAAGAAGGGAAAUUCUUUACUGUUGGGAGAGGAGGAAGGGAAGCAGCAUGGGUUGCUCCCCAGCAUCCCCCACUUCCCUGCCCUUCCUCUACAAGCUGGCUCAGAUCUUCCAUCGGAUCCGUGAGGCCGUGGCUUCUCCUCUCUGCCGGCUUCCUGUCCACGACUGAGGGGACUUCCCACUCACCUCGACCCCCUGCUUCCCAAGGCUGCCGGACGUGCAGUGUCACUCGUCCACAGCAGCCGUUUCCUGCAGCUGGAUGGGCCCUGCCAGUGCGGCCAGCCUAGUUCCAGGAGGAGCUGACCCAGCCGGGCACUAUGUCUUGCUGCCUGAGUGCCCUCCCCUUUGUGUCCCACUUUAGCUGGCCGGGCAGGUGGUGUGGAAAUAAGAUGCACAGCCCUGCAGAAGCCCCUCGUACAGGAGAGGUUUGGGAAAGGAGAGUGCUUCAUCCUUGAAAUGUUCCAUCUUCCUGCAGAGGCAGGGGGUUGAUGUUUCAGGCCGGGGUGUUCGUGAGUCUGAAGGUUCAGAACAAGGUCCUUGGCCUCUCAUUUGCUUGGAACACUUACCUCUGCAGGUUGCCCCCAGCCCAGGGCUUCCCCGGGCAGGGUGAGGGCGCCACAGUCUGGUCUGGUUUAUCACUGCCUGUCCCCGAGGUGUGCAGUGGGCUCCCUCUCUGCUCAGACCAGACAUGGCUUCCUGAGCCCCUGGUGCUCUUCUCACUGGGUAAGGGGAGCUGGCCUGGUGCCUCCUGGGCUUCAGCUCAAUUUUCCAGGUUGUCGGUGGCCAAGCUGGGCUCUGUUACACCCGUGUCUCUGCCCUCUCUCCCUCCUCUCAGCCCCUCCCUCUGCCCUGCGGUAGUUGCACUUUGUCCAAGGGCAGUUUCACCAGGUUCUGCCUGCAUCCUUGCUUUUGUGGUACACACAGUCGCUGCUUCCCCCCGCCUGUGCCCUGUUAUUCUAGUUAUGUUUUACCAUUUGUAUAAGGCAGAAGUGUUUCUGUUCCUGUGACCUUGAAAAGUAGGCCAGCCCCAAAGGCUGACGAGCUGAAAAUGGAGUGGGAUAAUUAGGUGAGCUGGAGGGAUGCAUGGAGGGGAUUGGGUGGAGGGGAGGCUUUGAAGGCAGUGAACGAUUUUAUUUCUUGUCAGGGGGAGGAGACAUUGGGCCCUAGUGGUUGAGCUGCUGAAAUGUUUCAGUGCUUUUUGUCAGUGGCCACAAGAAUCCUAGGUGUUUCUGUGCAAGGACACGUAGGCCACGUCUGUGCUGGCGGGUGCUGGAAGGCUCCUAGAAGGCCAGGAACAUGGAAGGGCUUAUCAGCUUUGCACUGAGACUCUCAGGAGCUGCUGGUCAACAGCUUCUCUUUCAUAAAAUGGGUGGAGUAAGUAAACUUCAGGCCUGGGAAGUUAAGUGCUAGGGUGUGGUCCACCAAAGCUAAGAGUUAGGAGCCCUGCAGAGAGGAAGAGAGGCGGCUGCACUUUGAGAUCUCUCUUUCAGAAUAAUUUUUAAAAUCUGGUCCUGUACACACCCUGAAUAAAACUCUUUAAUGGCUUCCCCUGGCCCAAGGGUAGCCAGGUUCUUGUGGAACUGCGCCACUCACACCUCUUUGCCCUUUGCACCUGCUGAUCCCUCUGGAGGCCCAGCUCUCCCUUUGCCUGGUAAACCCUGUCAAACUUCCAGACUUACUCAAGGGUUACCUCUGGGAAUCCUUUCCUGGUAUCCCCUGCUCCAGGCCUCUAUUUCAUGUCCUUUCUGUGGUGGUGGCCACACAGCCUUGUGAUUGUGGAAUUUUGUGGCCUCUCUGAAGCUGGGGAGUAUGGCUUGUUGCAGUGUCAAGUCAAGGGUAGAUCCAUGGCCUCCCACUCGCUGGGUUUGUGACUGUUGGAAAGUGAUUUAACUUCCUCUGUAAGUUUGUUCUUCUCUCACAGGGACUUUCAGAGGAGUAAAUGAGCCUCUAGUGCAGUGUUAGCACAUUCCUGCUCCGGUAAGAGCUCCCAGGAGAGGUAGCUGUGUCCACAUCGCCUUGCAGAGGGCUGGAGGUUAGAAUGUGUCCAGAGGCAUUUAAAAGAAUGAGCGGAUGUAACCGACAUGACAGGAGGCCUCUGCUUUGGUGUGUGUGUGGGUUUGUCUUGUGGAAGCCUUGACUUUCCAGCCUUUUCUCUUGCCCCUGAAGCCCCUGUGUGGCCCUGCGCUAGGCCUCGAGGGUCUCUGCUUCCUGUCCGUCUUGAGCUCUGCAGUCUUGUCUGGCAUCCAGCCCCAGCUGCCCUCUUAGUCAGACAAGGAGUGCGGACCCGCUGUUUGGGUGGCUCGGGCCUUUGCUGAGGAUGCAGCUGCUUCUCGGGCCAGUCCUCAGCUCUGGGCUUGACAAGGUCUGAAGCGAAGGGAGAGCCACCUUGUCACAGUACACCUGUGCUGACCAGUGAGGUCACCACUGGCCAUAGGUGGCCUUUGAGCCCUUGAAGUGUGGCUGGUCCAUAUGCAGAUGUUCUGUAAAUGUAAAAUACACACUGAUUUCAAACACAAAACUAAGAAGGUGGAAACUUGUUAAUUUUUAUAUUGAUUGCAUGUUAACAUAAUCUUUUGGAUAUAUUGGAUUAAAUAAAAUCUAUUACUAAAGUUAA